RNAcentral lists this ribosomal RNA (461 nucleotides) under uncultured bacterium. RNAcentral's name for it is "bacterial SSU rRNA". It matches the Rfam family "Bacterial small subunit ribosomal RNA", at positions 338 to 795 of the family's 1533-position model. The record is from RNAcentral.
CCUANGGGCGGCUGCAGUAAGGAAUAUUGGUCAAUGGGCGCAAGCCUGAACCAGCCAUGCCGCGUGCAGGAAGACGGCCCUAUGGGUUGUAAACUGCUUUUGUACGGGAAAAAACUCCCGGUCGUGAACCGGGACUGAUGGUACCGUAAGAAUAAGCAUCGGCUAACUCCGUGCCAGCAGCCGCGGUAAUACGGAGGAUGCAAGCGUUAUCCGGAUUCAUUGGGUUUAAAGGGUGCGCAGGCGGUUAUGCAAGACAGAUGUGAAAUCCCCGGGCUCAACCUGGGAACUGCAUUUGUGACUGCAUGACUGGAGUACGGUAGAGGGGGAUGGAAUUCCGCGUGUAGCAGUGAAAUGCGUAGAUAGGCGGAGGAACACCGAUGGCGAAGGCAAUCCCCUGGACCUGUACUGACGCUCAUGCACGAAAGCGUGGGGAGCAAACAGGAUUAGAUACCCCGNUANUC